Non-coding RNA from Malus domestica (apple), 557 nucleotides. The record is from RefSeq and is a predicted model, not a curated record. NCBI's taxonomy places the organism in Eukaryota, Viridiplantae, Streptophyta, Magnoliopsida, Rosales, Rosaceae.
GAGAAAAAUUCACUAGCUUUUGGACGUACACUUUGGUCACCUGCAUUACUUUAUGAUGUCAAACCUCAUUAAAACCCGAAGGGCGAUGACUUCUACACCUAAUCCGACGACUACACCUAGUCCAACGACUACACCUACUACUGCCAUCACUGCUCCGGCAGAGAUGGACCAUAGGCCAAUUAAUCUGGUUGACCCAGUUGGUCCUCCAGUCCCACAGGCGCAGGCAUCGUCGACUUCUUUGCUGGCGUUGCCUGUUAGCACUCAAUGUAUUCACCAGCGCCCCCACACUACGAACUAGAUGUUGCCAUUGGGAUCCACAACUGAUGCCUCGGGUACACGGCCAAACAAACUACAAUUUGGAGGACAUGGACGAGGACAUGUUCGCGUACCUCAAUCAGCUCUUCUCCGAACACUACAAGCAGUGGAAGAGUGACCUGCACCAAUGUUUCCAGCAAUUUGAUGAUCCGCAGGUCACUCUCGAGGAGGGUUGUCCGAAGGAGUUGAAGGACCGACAAGAUAGUUGGGUUUGGCUUUGUGGUCAUUUUCAAGAGCCAGGC